This 399-nucleotide ribosomal RNA is filed under the name uncultured bacterium. RNAcentral describes it as "bacterial SSU rRNA". It matches the Rfam family "Bacterial small subunit ribosomal RNA", at positions 28 to 430 of the family's 1533-position model. The record is from RNAcentral.
GACGAACGCUGGCGGCGUGCUUAACACAUGCAAGUCGAGCGGUAAGGCCCUUUCGGGGGUACACGAGCGGCGAACGGGUGAGUAACACGUGGGUGACCUGCCUUUAGCUCUGGGAUAAGCCUGGGAAACUAGGUCUAAUACCGGAUAUGACUCCAUGACGCAUGUUGUGGGGUGGAAAGCCUUGUGCGGCUAGGGGAUGGGCCUGCGGCCUAUCAGCUUGUUGGUGGGGUGAUGGCCUACCAAGGCGACGACGGGUAGCCGGCCUGAGAGGGCGACCGGCCACACUGGGACUGAGACACGGCCCAGACUCCUACGGGAGGCAGCAGUGGGGAAUCUUGCGCAAUGGGCGAAAGCCUGACGCAGCGACGCCGCGUGGGGAUGACGGCCUCGGUUGUAACC